RNAcentral lists this ribosomal RNA (465 nucleotides) under Vreelandella stevensii. RNAcentral's name for it is "partial 16S ribosomal RNA". It matches the Rfam family "Bacterial small subunit ribosomal RNA", at positions 338 to 795 of the family's 1533-position model. Lineage: Bacteria; Pseudomonadati; Pseudomonadota; Gammaproteobacteria; Oceanospirillales; Halomonadaceae. The record is from RNAcentral.
CCUACGGGCGGCAGCAGUGGGGAAUAUUGGACAAUGGGGGGAACCCUGAUCCAGCCAUGCCGCGUGUGUGAAGAAGGCCCUCGGGUUGUAAAGCACUUUCAGUGAGGAAGAACGCCUGGUGGUUAAUACCCAUCAGGAAAGACAUCACUCACAGAAGAAGCACCGGCUAACUCCGUGCCAGCAGCCGCGGUAAUACGGAGGGUGCGAGCGUUAAUCGGAAUUACUGGGCGUAAAGCGCGCGUAGGUGGCUUGAUAAGCCGGUCGUGAAAGCCCCGGGCUCAACCUGGGAACGGCAUCCGGAACUGUCAAGCUAGAGUGCAGGAGAGGAAGGUAGAAUUCCCGGUGUAGCGGUGAAAUGCGUAGAGAUCGGGAGGAAUACCAGUGGCGAAGGCGGCCUUCUGGACUGACACUGACACUGAGGUGCGAAAGCGUGGGUAGCAAACAGGAUUAGAUACCCCAGUAGUC